GGAUGUGAAGGCAAUUUGGCUGCUACAUCUGUCACCCAUUGAUGGCCAGGGUUGAUUCCGCUGAUUUGGCUGCCUAGGCAGGUGUCCCCUUUCUCCCUCUCUGCUCCAUGUGCGUCCCUCCUGAAGCUGCACAUUGGGUCGAAGAGGACGGCCUUUCCCGAAUAGAGAUGGACCGGUCUUCGGUGGAGGGUAUAUGAGUAGCUGCGCUCCGCUGUUAGACCUCCAAACAAGCUCUCAAACAUACAUAUGAUCACAUUUUCCUGACCUGAGCUGGGGGAAAACAGAUAUGACAGCCAGCAAUCCUUUGACCUCUAGGAACAGGGAUUGAAA
RNAcentral lists this small nuclear RNA (330 nucleotides) under Sorex araneus (European shrew). Its description in RNAcentral is "7SK RNA (ENSSARG00000018138.1)". It matches the Rfam family "7SK RNA". Rfam says of the family: 7SK was discovered as an abundant small nuclear RNA in the mid-70s but a possible function has only recently been suggested. Two independent studies have found that 7SK RNA binds the CDK9/cyclin T complex (known as elongation factor P-TEFb). Lineage: Eukaryota; Metazoa; Chordata; Mammalia; Eulipotyphla; Soricidae. The record is from RNAcentral.